Molecule: ribosomal RNA, 254 nt
Filed under: uncultured bacterium
Lineage: Bacteria
Description: partial 16S ribosomal RNA
Rfam family: Bacterial small subunit ribosomal RNA
Source: RNAcentral
UACGUAGGGGGCGAGCGUUGUCCGGAUUUAUUGGGCGUAAAGAGCUCGUAGGCGGUUCGAUAAGUCGGACGUGAAAUCUCCACGCUCAACGUGGAGGGGCCGUUCGAUACUGUCGUGACUCGAGUCCGGUAGGGGAGUGUGGAAUUCCCGGUGUAGCGGUGAAAUGCGCAGAGAUCGGGAAGAACACCCGUGGCGAAGGCGGUUCUCUGGGACGGUACUGACGCUGAGACGCGAAAGCGUGGGGAGCGAACAGG